This is a long non-coding RNA of Daktulosphaira vitifoliae (grape phylloxera), 2404 nucleotides long. RefSeq lists it as uncharacterized. The transcript is spliced from 3 exons. Lineage: Eukaryota; Metazoa; Arthropoda; Insecta; Hemiptera; Phylloxeridae. The record is from RefSeq and is a predicted model, not a curated record.
UUUGGGACGGCGGGUGUCAGACAUAUGGUUUUACGUGUAUGAGUGUGCCGGUCGGUUGGCGGUGGUAUGACGGUUGAUAGUGCGUCUCGCCAACACCGCCGCCGCCGGAGCCAUUUACCGGCGCGGGACGUGGCGGGUGGAAGGACGGAUGGACGUAAUGUAAAGGGGGGAUGAGGUCGGAGGGUCGUCUAGCCGGUCGGUGCCGCGACGGCGUUCGGGUGAAAGACCCAGACGGUAGACGUAGGGAAACGGCUGGGCCGUUUUGUAUAUGUGUUAUAGGAGAAGGUGAUGAUCGGAGGGAUGGAUAAACGGCGUGUCGUCGGAUGAAAACCCGAAUGGUGGGGUGGGGACAAGUAAGGAGGGAGGGAUAUGUUCCCCGUCUGAGUGUGGCAGUCGCUGGUGUUCGCCCGCCAUUCGGUUGCCAACUUGUGUAUGUGUGCGUGUGGCGGCCCGCCCUUCCGUCUGUCUGUCGUCCGAUCGUCCGUUAGUUCGUAACGCCACCAUGGCCGCCGAUUUUUCGCACGAUCGUUCGACAAGUAUUCGACAACGGCCUUUGAGCACGCCGAUUUAACUGUAGGAGGCCAUUCGCGCGUGGCGGCCCACAACAGGCCUUUGUCGUCAUACCGCGCCGGUGUAUGCCAUGCCGGCGGUGGUGGCACGCCGACACUUCGUCGAGCGACGAACAUUCGCCGGCGGAUCGCCGUCGCCGACGGCCGGCUUUUGACGUUCACCGACUUUUUUUUAUCUCGACGGCCUUUGAAAAUAAAUUCAAAUUUUUUUUAGACCGUGUACGGAUAAAUUUUUAAAUAUUAAUUUUGCCAAAAUUUUUAGUUAUGAAACCAAAACGCGUGCAGUUUUCGCGAAAUAUUACGAAUUUUUUUUUUAUAAAAUAAAUUACGUUUGAUAUGAAGACUACUCGAAAUCAUCGGUACCAAAUACCAGUGUCAUGAAGUUGCCCUCAAGUUUUAAAAAGGUCCUGACUCGGUUAGUUUCAUUUCUCAAUUUAGUCAUUAUGCGAAAAGAUAUUUAAAAUAUUUUAUGGUCCAACCGAUUUGUAGAUGCAGCUGUAAAGACAACAACGGCAAAACCUUCAAGAUAAUUCCAGUGAUUGGUGUGAGGAGCCAAGUGUAAAUUUUACUCUGCUGACAAUGAUAAUUAAGGAAAUUAUUCUACCUGGUCGACGGUGCUUAUUCAAACAUGUCUAGCAAUAUGACGUAGAUAAUAUCGAGUUACACCAGUUAUGAAGCAGGGUUGAUAAUUUGUGUGAUUAUUUGUCGAGAUUGCGACUGCUCGAGGGAAAUGUCUUGUGUUUCGACGGCCUUGAGCUGUCGACUAGACAGUUCAGAUUAUUCAUAUAAACAUAUUAAACAAUGUAUUGCCAUAAGACAUCCAUUAUUACACAGUCGUAUUUUUGAUGCUCAUCAAGACUUGGCAAAUAAAAAAAAAAAAAAACACUCAGUUUUUGUGUCGAUGAGUCGUUGAACAUUGAGGAACCGUCUGGUGUAUAGUAAGACAAUAAUGAACAUUAUAUGCACGUUGAACUACACGCAUAUUCAAAUGAAUUACUACUAUGGGCGAAUUUUUUUUUUUUUUUUCACAACGAGGUACUAGACGUUAUUAUUAUUAUAAAAUGUGUAGGUACCUAUAUAAUAAUGAUUUUUCGUCAUGAUAUUAUAUUGUACUGUAACUGCAAGACGCGACGAACGAAAUGGGGUUACAUAAAUCCUAGACGGACGAAUAAUAAUAAUAAUAAUAAUAAUAAUAAUAAUGAUGAUAAUGACCUCCAGACGGGUAGGCGGCUUUACCUCUAUGGUUGUAAGCGUACAGACUAUGAAAAAAUUCAUAUGUUUGUUGUACAAAUACACGUAGUUUGGCUAUGGCGAUUGACGACACGAUAAACUUUGGGAUAUAAUUUGCAUAAAUUUCAUCUUUUUCCAUCGGAACACUUAAUGCUCAAAUAAAGUAAGUCGGUUGACCGUUUGGGCAAGUCAGUCAGUAUACGGUACUGAACGUUUUAUUCAGACCGUUCGUGUGUAGAGUAGUAAUUGCACAUUUGAAUUACCAUACAACGAUUCAGGGGAAUUGUGAUUAUAAUUAUUUUUUUUUUAGAUAUGGAAAAAAUAAGUAUUAUUUACAAAACCUUGGUAUAGGUUACUAUCAAAAUAAUUUUUGCUUUUUAGUUUCCUUUGGUUGUAAUCAGAUAAUUCGUUUAGUAGAAAAACUAAUUUUUAACAUUCAUAAAAGAAACAAGCAAAAUAUUUUAGGCAAUUUUUUUUCGAGCAAUUGUAAUUAAAUUCCGUUUUUACACGGUUGACCUAUAUUUUACUGAGUCGGUAAACGAUAAAAAAUUACGCGCUUGUGCGAUUAGUUUUAAAAACACAAAAGGUUAAAAAAUAAUUCACUA